Molecule: non-coding RNA, 319 nt
Organism: Pelobates cultripes (western spadefoot toad)
Lineage: Eukaryota; Metazoa; Chordata; Amphibia; Anura; Pelobatidae
Source: the annotation of a GenBank genome assembly
AAAAAAUGUAUGGUUUUUCUCCCACGAAUGCUAGAGAUUUGUAUAAAUUACAACCAUAAUGUUAAUUAUAUAUAGAGCAGGGCCCCCUGCUGCCAGGCUUUUUGAUGUGCUGAGUUUCAAACGAAUAAACUGUUAUCUCCAACUAGCACUCUGCCAGAAAAAUAAAAUAAUCCAGCUGGAAGGCUGGUGGAUGACUUUAUACGCUAUAUUCUUAAUAUGUUUUUUAUAAAGCACCAACAUACGUUGCAGCGCUGUAUAAUGGACAAUUAAAAGCACACAUGUAAAUGAUGGCAAACAAUUUUUACUGGAAAACAAGGUG